GAAUAAGGUGCUGUGUAAUAACAGCUUAAUAGGGAAUCAUGUGUAAAUCGUGAGCUGACGCGCAACUGUAAAUAACGUAAAAUAGUUUUAUCAAAAUAAGCCAUUGCCAUGUAAAAGGUGAGAAGGCAGAUAAAAUGUUAUAAGCCAGGAGACCUGCCUAUUCUUAA
Molecule: non-coding RNA, 167 nt
Filed under: uncultured Apibacter sp.
Lineage: Bacteria; Pseudomonadati; Bacteroidota; Flavobacteriia; Flavobacteriales; Weeksellaceae
Source: RNAcentral